Gallus gallus (chicken) is the source of this 1083-nucleotide long non-coding RNA. NCBI's taxonomy places the organism in Eukaryota, Metazoa, Chordata, Aves, Galliformes, Phasianidae. The record is from Ensembl.
UCAUUUGAGUGUUGGCAGUGGAUUCAUAACUAUUUUGCUCGAGGUCCUUGUGUAUCUGAGGCCUUCUAAAGGCUUGUGUAUGCAGAGGAGAGAAGAGUCAGCCUCCUGGAGGUAGGGCAUGGCUGAAGACAUUUGCACUGCACCAAGACAGAAGGAUAAGGCUUGAGUAAAGGAGAACAACUGUUGAAGUAGUUUUGUCUGUUUAUGGCACCUGAGAUAGUUCAGUGUAUCCUGCCUUGUGUUCAGCUGUUGCUGGAGAUGUAGAUUUUCUCACACCUUGGUAAGGUCACUGCUGGAUGUUGACUCAAGGCCUCUUUCCAUGUUAAGGAUGGCCUCCCACUGGGAUGUAAAGCAUGAAGGCUUUCAGUCCAAAGGGAAUACAGCAAGUGAAUAACUUCUGAAAAUGUCUGCUCAGAUCUUCCAAGUUAGUACUCAGUGGAAACAUAUACAUAUCACUGUUUUUCUUCUAUGUCUAAAUCAAAACUUUUACAAUCUCCUCAACGGUUUAAGUGUAGUUUUAACAGUUUAUCAAAUUUCUUUUUCAUUCUUUCUACUCCAAAAUCAAAUAAACUAUCCUCUUAAUGGUGACAGGACAUUCCUUAAUGAGAUAUGUCUUAAAAAAAUGAAGUAUAUUUCCUCUUUUUGACAGCUCUGAAGGACAGGCUUUUGAGAGGAACUGUGUCUAUUUCACCAUCUGGAGUCCUGCCUAACUAGUCGUAGAAAAAAAUUGCAUGACCUUAAGUGUGCAGUACCACAGGAAAAUAUAAAUAUCUCUGCUUCUCCAAACUCUUCUAGAAAUCAUGAGAUAUUUUAAGCAUUUAACUGAAGCAGACACUCUUACUUAAGGCACAUUUUUUUUUAGUUCAGAUUUAUUAACAAAUUUUGAACAACUUAAUCAUGUUCAAAAUAGAAAUAUUGCCUCUGGGAGUCAAAUGCUUUCUGUUCUGAGCCAAAUCUGACUUUGAUAUGUGUGUGUUCCAGAUACCAUAGUCUCAUUUCUUUCUGGUGGAAAUUCUUUGCAACAUGCCGUUUUUAUUAAGGGUAGGAGUCACUGGAUGAAAUUUUAAUGUAAAUUCUCAUCCG